UGUGUGAUUCUUACAGAGAAGUGAGGAACACUGAGCCUGAUACUCAUCCCAUGCAGCUGCAAAUUGGUGACAGCUCCACUGAAGUCAUUGGAGUUAUGCUGACAUAAAACCAAAGCAGGGGACAUCAGUAUCUGGCUUACUCUUACUUCAAAUGAAGAUUUAAUCAGAGCCUUCUAUGGAAAUUUUCUAAAGACAGGUGACUGUAUGAAGAGUUAAAACUCCCACCAGUAUGGCUCUUAGGGUCAUUGAAGCACACAAGCCUUCCCACCAUGCCAAGGAGCAGUCUCCAGGAUUCAAGGUUCCAAUUAAAACCCUGUUUGGGCCAUUGCUUUGCCUUCCAGUUCUUAAUCUUUCCCGAAAGCCUCAUCAUUUAUCUAAAACAAAAGAAGAAUGAGCAUUUGGAAAUGCAGCGUUUUACUGCAAUUUCCCAGAUAUGAACAAGGCACCAACGGCAGAGAAUAAAGAAGCGGAAGGUACUCACAUAUCAGAAAUGAAUACACCAAAAGUAUACAAAUUGCCCUUUUAAAGCAGCUGUCUCAUCUUGCAUUAGGAAACCAGCCACACUCGAUGAUCUGCUUCUUUCUCACUCAAUACAGUAGUUUAAAGUAUCUAGGUUGCAUUAAAACUUUUCCAAUUAUCUUAUGUCGCCAAAAGAAUUUAUAAAGAUCCCUCAGCCUGUGAAAUUUUUCCUUAAGGAUCUGUUCAACUGAACCCUGCACAUAUAAAAAACAUGUUUUCCAGCAAUAUAGUUGUAUCCAAAUGUAUUAUGAGUUAGUGAUGGACAAACAUCAAAGAUUUUAAUAUUUCUGUUGGAUUUAAAAAAGAAUCCAGAACUCUAGUUGUUGCUCUACAGUGUAUACAAACCAAUAUAACCAAAUUUUCAGUGGAUCUCCUUAAUUGUGUGUGUCAUUUGCAGACGCAUCUAUUUGUGUACAGGCAAUCAGAUACUUGUGGAAGCUAAUCAGGUAAUUUUGUGCCUAAGUACCUGAUUUAUGCACAAACACAUCUUCUUGUACCCAUAAAUAUUUUGAGCAUGUAAAAAAGAGCAAAGAGAAUUGGUGAUUUAAGUCUGCAAGAUUGGGCUUGAAAGCAGGCUUUCUCAUAAGGUUUUUAAGAACUUUUGCUCCUGUUCAUGGUCACAAAUACUGCCAAAGCAGCCUUUCCAACAUUAAUUUGGCAUUUAUAUCUGUAGUUGCAGAUGGGGGAAAUUAAAACUUACCUGAAUGUUCCAGGAGAAGAAAAAUUAGUUCCACUCAAGUUUACGGUUGUAAAUAGGGAAAUAGAUGCAUCAGGCCCUUGUUUCUCCCAUACAUGCUUCCCCACAGCAAUUCAGUAACUAUAAAGGGAAUUUUUCAAAGUCAAAAGGACAUUUAGGUGCCAUACUCCCUUUUGAACCUUAAGCUACUUCCCAUGAUGUAUAUUAUUCUUACUACCCCAUUCAGUUCUAACUUCCCUCAAUGGAAAUUUUAUAUCCUUCGUUAUUUGUUUCCACUGCUGCCCACAAAGUGCCAAGGCUGUGCAAAGGGGAAAGAAGGCAUGGUCUCUGCCUGAAGGAACUUACAAUCUUAGAAACAAAAGCAGAAGAUAUGUUUUUCAAAGCACUCUGUAGUCCACAGUAAAUUUGAAUGCUAACCAAAUGAUAUGAUUUCAAAUAUAAGAGAACUCAGUCAGUUACGUGAGGUAGCUUGGACCCAAUAAAAGUGACACAGGUCCUUCAGCUCAUUCAUAUUUUAUGUUUGCUCUCUCUCUCCCCCCCCUUCCCCAAACAAUUUCUAGACAUUUCAGUACAGUACAUAGAUGUAUA
Long non-coding RNA from Mauremys reevesii (Reeves's turtle), 1804 nucleotides. RefSeq lists it as uncharacterized. The transcript is spliced from 4 exons. NCBI's taxonomy places the organism in Eukaryota, Metazoa, Chordata, Testudines, Geoemydidae. The record is from RefSeq and is a predicted model, not a curated record.